This 77-nucleotide transfer RNA is filed under the name Candidatus Kerfeldbacteria bacterium CG_4_10_14_0_8_um_filter_42_10. Its description in RNAcentral is "tRNA-Arg". It matches the Rfam family "tRNA". Rfam says of the family: Transfer RNA (tRNA) molecules are approximately 80 nucleotides in length. The record is from RNAcentral. Lineage: Bacteria; Candidatus Kerfeldiibacteriota.
GCGCCCGUAGCUCAGCUGGAUAGAGCGUGAGCUUGCGGAGCUCAAGGCCGGAGGUUCAAGUCCUCCCGGGCGCACCA